GGAUGUGAGGGCAAUCUGGCUGCGACUUCAGUCUUUCCAUUGAUUUGGCUGAUAUGGCUGGCUAGAUGUGUGUCCCCUUCCUCCCUCACUGCUCCAUGUGUGUCCCUCCUAAAGCUGAACCCUCUGUUGAAGAGGACGACCACCCCCAAUAGAGGGUGUCCGUUUCCUUGGCCAAGGGUGUACAAGUAGUUGGGCUCCCCUGCUAGAACCUCCAAGCAAGCUCUCAAGAAAUGUGUCCUUUGGGCCAGGGUUCGUGUUCCCUUGACAUCAUGGCAUGGUCUGAUGUUGUGGAUCAGGGCUGUGC
Fukomys damarensis (Damara mole-rat) is the source of this 304-nucleotide unclassified non-coding RNA. Its record names the gene 7SK. It matches the Rfam family "7SK RNA". From Rfam's summary of the family: 7SK was discovered as an abundant small nuclear RNA in the mid-70s but a possible function has only recently been suggested. Two independent studies have found that 7SK RNA binds the CDK9/cyclin T complex (known as elongation factor P-TEFb). The record is from Ensembl. Lineage: Eukaryota; Metazoa; Chordata; Mammalia; Rodentia; Bathyergidae.